Acanthosepion pharaonis is the source of this 108-nucleotide non-coding RNA. The record is from the annotation of a GenBank genome assembly. NCBI's taxonomy places the organism in Eukaryota, Metazoa, Mollusca, Cephalopoda, Sepiida, Sepiidae.
UACGGUCAUGUCAUAUUCAGACACUGGUUCUCAUAAAAUCACCAAAGUUAAGCACUGUUGGACCUGGUCAGUACCUAGAUGAGUGACUACUUGGGAAUACCUGGUGCU